Paramuricea clavata is the source of this 147-nucleotide non-coding RNA. Lineage: Eukaryota; Metazoa; Cnidaria; Anthozoa; Malacalcyonacea; Plexauridae. The record is from the annotation of a GenBank genome assembly.
CAACAGACUCUGUUUGAUGUCAUGUAAUGUAAAAGCUAUCACAAUGAAAUAAAGAUCAUUGCAUUUAUCCAUUAUAAAUGCAAUGAUCUUUAUUUCAUUGUGAUAGCUUUUACGUUACAUGUAAAUGUUCUCAUAGAAAGUUUCUUG